Molecule: long non-coding RNA, 302 nt
Organism: Orbicella faveolata
Lineage: Eukaryota; Metazoa; Cnidaria; Anthozoa; Scleractinia; Merulinidae
Source: RefSeq, a predicted model, not a curated record
GAAUCUGAUUUGCCAGAAAUGGAGGAGAAAUUGGCAAGAAACGAUGAAUCGACAUCAGAGGGGGAAAUUAUCAACCCUUUGUGGUAUAGACAAACAGCUGCUGAAACAAGAAUGGCAAACACGCUUCCACGACACAGUAGAGAGUCGGAGCGAGUUGUUCUUGACGAAAUGCAAGGACAGAUGAAGGGCGUUUCAUUUCGAUAAAUUUUAUGGACGUACAAAAGAUAUAUCAGUAAUGAGAUGAGUGAAUAAAAUAUUUUUGUCGAAAAUGUCCAUUGUGCGCUUAUUUUCCAGGGAACUGU